Molecule: long non-coding RNA, 198 nt
Organism: Sphaeramia orbicularis (orbiculate cardinalfish)
Lineage: Eukaryota; Metazoa; Chordata; Actinopteri; Kurtiformes; Apogonidae
Exons: 3
Source: RefSeq, a predicted model, not a curated record
CAUUUUCUCCAGCACUUUAUGAAGAUAUGUUCCUUGAGCCGUAGGUAAUAAGUCAAUAUUUCCAUAGAGUAGAUUUCCUCUAUUAUAGCUAUAGCCACUGAUCCUCCCGGGGUUCAUCAGUUUUGAGCCAGUUGCUUGUAAUGGCCUUUUUGGAAGCAAUUAUAAGAAUUUCAAAGAGGUAUUUUCUACAGAUUUCUC